Molecule: ribosomal RNA, 373 nt
Filed under: uncultured bacterium
Lineage: Bacteria
Description: bacterial SSU rRNA
Rfam family: Bacterial small subunit ribosomal RNA
Source: RNAcentral
ACGUACUACCCAAACGUUAUUCGGAAUCACUGGGCUUAAAGAGUCCGUAGGCGGCUCGAAAAGUUGGAUGUGAAAUACCUCGGCCUAACCGAGGAACUGCAUUCAAAACUUCCGGGCUUGAGAGAGGCAGAGGUAAGCGGAACUGAUGGUGGAGCGGUGAAAUGCGUUGAUAUCAUCAGGAACACCGGUGGCGAAAGCGGCUUACUGGGUCUCUUCUGACGCUGAGGGACGAAAGCUAGGGGAGCGAACGGGAUUAGAUACCCCGGUAGUCCUAGCCUUAAACGAUGAGCACUAGAUCGAGGGGACCUCCACAUCCUCUUGGUCGUAGGGAAACUGUUAAGUGCUCCGCCUGGGGAGUAUGGUCGCAAGGCUG